Molecule: ribosomal RNA, 482 nt
Filed under: uncultured bacterium
Lineage: Bacteria
Description: partial 16S ribosomal RNA
Rfam family: Bacterial small subunit ribosomal RNA
Source: RNAcentral
AUUGAACGCUGGCGGCAUGCUUUACGCAUGCAAGUCGAACGGUAACAGGCCGCAAGGUGCUGACGAGUGGCGAACGGGUGAGUAAUGCAUCGGAACGUGCCCAGUCGUGGGGGAUAACUACUCGAAAGAGUAGCUAAUACCGCAUACGAUCUAUGGAUGAAAGCGGGGGACCGUAAGGCCUCGCGCGAUUGGAGCGGCCGAUGUCAGAUUAGGUAGUUGGUGGGGUAAAGGCUCACCAAGCCGACGAUCUGUAGCUGGUCUGAGAGGACGACCAGCGACACUGGGACUGAGACACGGCCCAGACUCCUACGGGAGGCAGCAGUGGGGAAUUUUGGACAAUGGGCGCAAGCCUGAUCCAGCAAUGCCGCGUGCAGGAAGAAGGCCUUCGGGUUGUAAACUGCGUUUGUACGGAACGAAACGGCUCUGGUUAAUACCCGGGGCUAAUGACGGUACCGUAAGAAUAAGCACCGGCUAACUACGUG